AUGGCCCUGGAAGACUUCUAUGCAGUCCACAGAAACUACACCCCGAAGCUAGUUCUCCACAUCAGGGACUCCAAAAGUAACAAUGUCCAAGCUGCAUCAGCAGCCCUCGACCUGCUAGAGAAUUACAGCGUCCAAGUUAUCAUAGGUCCUCAAACAUCUUCACAAGCAGCAUUUGUAUCGGAUCUCGGGAAUAAAAGUCAGGUCCCUGUGAUCUCCUUCACAGCAACAAGCCCAUCUCUUUACUCUGGCAGUCUUCCAUAUUUUGUUCGUGCAACACUGAGUGACUCUACACAAGUGAAUAGCAUUGCCUCCCUAAUCAAGGCCUAUGGGUGGAGACAGGUGGUGCCAAUUUAUGAAGAAACUGACUAUGGUAGAGGUGUCAUACCAUAUCUCAUUGACGCCCUCCAAGAAAUUGAUGUCCGUGUUCCCUACCGGAGUGUGAUCCCCCUGUCAGCAACUACUGAACAAAUUACCAAAGAACUCUAUAAGUUAUUGACAAUGCAAACAAGGGUCUUCUUGGUGCAUAUGUCACCUGAUUUGGCUUCGAUCCUCUUCACAAUGGCAAAAGAGGUUGGUAUGAUGAAGAAAGGAUUUGUAUGGAUCAUGACAGAUGGGCUAACCAAUGUCAUAGACUCCACGAACCCUUCUGUUAUGGAAGCAAUGAAUGGUGUUUUAGGAGUAAAGUUUUAUACUCCUAAAUCAGCAGAACUGGAUAACUACACCAUACGCUGGAUGAGAUUACAGAUUGAUAACCCAAAUGAUCCACCACUGAAACUAAGCAUAUUUGAACUCUGGGGCUAUGAUACUAUAUGGGCGGUAGCGCAAGCAGUUGAAAAGCUUGGUAUUAAGAACAAAACAUCAUUUCAAAAACCAGCAGUUGCAAGAAACAUGACAAGCAUGGGAACUUCUGUUUAUGGCCCGGAUCUCCUAAAGACCAUCUUGCAAUACAAAUUUAGAGGUUUGAGUGGUCAUUUUGACCUUUCAGGUAGGCAGCUGCAAGCUUCUACAUUUCAGAUAAUAAAUGUAGUUGAUAAAGGGUGGAAAGAAAUUGGGUUUUGGACUGCAGAAAAUGGAAUUUCCCGGCGACUAUAUCACGGAGAAUCAACGACACGGCAUUCAGGCUUAGCUUCUGACCUAAACCCGGUAAUUUGGCCAGGAAAAUCAACAGAGAUACCCAAAGGGUGGGAAGCUCCUGUGAAUGGGAAGAAGCUUCGAGUAGGAGUGCACACAAGUGUAUACCCACAAUUUAUGACAAGUGGAAAAGAUCCUAUUACUGGGGCCACUACAGCAAGUGGCCUUUCCAUUGAUGUAUUCGAAGAGGCAAUUAAAAGACUUCCCUAUGCACUGCCCUAUGAGUAUGUAGCAUUUGGCACUACGAAUGACACAAGCAGUGGAGGUUAUGAUGAUUUUGUUUACCAAGUUUACCUUAAGAAAUAUGAUGUAGCCAUUGGGGACAUAACAAUCUCACAUAACAGAACUUCCUACGUCGACUUCACUCUACCAUACACAGAAUCAGGAGUGGCAAUGGUUGUUCCAGCCAAGAGCAGCAGAACUAACAACAUAUGGAUUUUCGUUGAGCCAUUAUCACGUGACCUGUGGCUCGGAAGCAUCAUAUUACUAUUCUACACAUGGGUUGUUCUCUGGCUAAUGGAGUUCCUGGAAAACAGCACAAAUAUUGCUGGACAAGUCCCCAAACAGCUCGGGAUUAUGACUUCCUUUUCCCUAUUUGGAGACAAGAACGGAGUGGAAAGUUUACGAUCUCGGAUAGUUUUGAUUGUAUGGGUGUUUUUCUUCCUUGUACUGUCAGCAAGCUACACCGCAAAUUUGGCAACAAUGCUUACCAUAAGACAGCUAAAUCCAACUAUAACUGAUAUCCAUGACCUCCGUAAAAGUGGGGACUAUGUAGGAUGCACUAGUGGUUCCUAUGUCGAGAGUCUACUGGAACAACUCAAUUUUGACAGAUUGAAGAUCAAGACCUAUAGUACCUACGAUGGAUUUUACAGUGCACUCUCGAAGGGAAGCAAAAGUGGGGGAAUUGCUGCGUUCAUUCAUGAAGUCCCAUACAUCAGACUGUUUCUUGCAAAGAACUGCAAAGGGUACACUAUGGUUCCGUUUUAUAAGGCAGCAGGUUUUGGAUAUGCAUUUCCAAAAGGAUCUCCUCUAGUUGGGGACAUCUCAAAGGCAAUCCUGGGCAUAAUAGGAGGAGACACUAUCAAUCGAAUUGAGAAGAAAUGGAUCGGAAUAGGAUAUGAAAACAACUGCAACAAUGCGGGACGUGCACCUGAUCCAGACAAACUCACAUUUGGCAGUUUUUUUGGACUUUUCAUACUUAGUGGAGCUGUCUCGACUUCUUGUCUUCUGAUAGCUCUGAUGACUAAAUUUUAUCACCGAAAUAGAGAUCAGGCAGAAGGAAAUCAAGGAGGUAAUGACGCUGGACAAGAGAUACAAAAUAUGGAUCCACAAAUAAAUUACCCUAGGCCCAAUGGUAUAGAUCCACAAAUAAAUUACCCUAGGCCCAAUGGUUCACCUGUCAGGGGUCGAAGAACUCGUAGCGCAUGA
RNAcentral lists this ribosomal RNA (2559 nucleotides) under Triticum aestivum (bread wheat). RNAcentral describes it as "partial small subunit ribosomal RNA". Lineage: Eukaryota; Viridiplantae; Streptophyta; Magnoliopsida; Poales; Poaceae. The record is from RNAcentral.